GGAGAGGUUCCCGAGUUGGCCAAAGGGGCCGGACUGUAAAUCCGGUGGCGAAGCCUUCGGAGGUUCGAAUCCUCCCCUCUCCACCA
RNAcentral lists this transfer RNA (86 nucleotides) under Thermosulfuriphilus ammonigenes. Its description in RNAcentral is "tRNA-Tyr". It matches the Rfam family "tRNA". Rfam says of the family: Transfer RNA (tRNA) molecules are approximately 80 nucleotides in length. The record is from RNAcentral. Lineage: Bacteria; Pseudomonadati; Thermodesulfobacteriota; Thermodesulfobacteria; Thermodesulfobacteriales; Thermodesulfobacteriaceae.